Eublepharis macularius is the source of this 105-nucleotide small nuclear RNA. The record is from RefSeq and is a predicted model, not a curated record. Lineage: Eukaryota; Metazoa; Chordata; Lepidosauria; Squamata; Eublepharidae.
GCUCACUCUGGCUGCACAUAUACUAAAAAUUGAGUGACACAGAGAAGAUUAGCUUGACCCCUGUGCAAGGAUGGUGUGCCCAUUCAUGAAGCAUUCCACAAAGAA